RNAcentral lists this ribosomal RNA (425 nucleotides) under uncultured bacterium. RNAcentral describes it as "bacterial SSU rRNA". It matches the Rfam family "Bacterial small subunit ribosomal RNA", at positions 42 to 473 of the family's 1533-position model. The record is from RNAcentral.
UCAGGCCUAACACAUGCAAGUCGAGGGGUAGGGCAGCAAUGCCCGAGACCGGCGCACGGGUGCGUAACGCGUAUGCAAUCUACCUUCAACAGGGGGAUAGCCCAGAGAAAUUUGGAUUAAUACCCCAUAGUAUAUUUGAGUGGCAUCACUUGAUUAUUAAAGUUCCAACGGUUGAAGAUGAGCAUGCGUCCUAUUAGCUUGUUGGUAAGGUAACGGCUUACCAAGGCUACGAUAGGUAGGGGUCCUGAGAGGGAGAUCCCCCACACUGGUACUGAGACACGGACCAGACUCCUACGGGAGGCAGCAGUGAGGAAUAUUGGACAAUGGGCGCAAGCCUGAUCCAGCCAUGCCGCGUGCAGGAAGAAGCAUCUAUGGUGUUAAAGUGCUUUUGUACGGGAAGAAACACCUCUACGGUAGGGGCUGAC